AGUGAACGCUGGCGGUAGGCCUAACACAUGCCAGUCGAACGGCAGCACAGUAAGAGCUUGCUCUUACGGGUGGCGAGUGGCGGACGGGUGAGGAAUACAUCGGAAUCUACUUUUUCGUGGGGGAUAACGUAGGGAAACUUACGCUAAUACCGCAUACGACCUACGGGUGAAAGCAGGGGAUCUUCGGACCUUGCGCGAUUGAAUGAGCCGAUGUCGGAUUAGCUAGUUGGCGGGGUAAAGGCCCGCCAAGGCGACGAUCCGUAGCUGGUCUGAGAGGAUGAUCAGCCACACUGGAACUGAGACACGGUCCAGACUCCUACGGGAGGCAGCAGUGGGGAAUAUUGGACAAUGGGCGCAAGCCUGAUCCAGCCAUACCGCGUGGGUGAAGAAGGCCUUCGGGUUGUAAAGCCCUUUUGUUGGGAAAGAAAAGCAGCAGGUUAAUACCCCGCUGUUCUGACGGUACCCAAAGAAUAAGCACCGGCUAACUUCGU
Molecule: ribosomal RNA, 491 nt
Filed under: uncultured bacterium
Lineage: Bacteria
Description: partial 16S ribosomal RNA
Rfam family: Bacterial small subunit ribosomal RNA
Source: RNAcentral